Small nuclear RNA from Heterocephalus glaber (naked mole-rat), 190 nucleotides. Its record names the gene U2. It matches the Rfam family "U2 spliceosomal RNA". From Rfam's summary of the family: U2 is a small nuclear RNA (snRNA) component of the spliceosome (involved in pre-mRNA splicing). Complementary binding between U2 snRNA (in an area lying towards the 5' end but 3' to hairpin I) and the branchpoint sequence (BPS) of the intron results the bulging out of an unpaired adenosine, on the BPS, which initiates a nucleophilic attack at the intronic 5' splice site, thus starting the first of two transesterification reactions that mediate splicing. NCBI's taxonomy places the organism in Eukaryota, Metazoa, Chordata, Mammalia, Rodentia, Bathyergidae. The record is from Ensembl.
AUCGCUUCUCGGCCUUUUGGCUAAGAUCAAGUGAACUCAGGACCUUGCACUUGCAAGGCAGGCGGCGGCGGAACCACUGAACUAAAUCCCCCGCCCUAAAAUGUUAACUUUAAUAUAAUAAUUAACAUUAUAUUUAGACUAUAUUAAUAGUCCAUAUUUGUUUUGCAAAAACACAAGUAUGAUACACAUU